CACAACUUCGAUUGGAUUGGAUUGCUUACUGCAAUGAAACCAAUAGAGCAAGUACAAAAAAAUAAAGGGACGGGCAUGGCGCAAACUUCAAACAUCCGUGAGAUUGAAAUCCUUUUACUAGAAGAUGAAACGAUCCGGAUCACGCUAUGGGGGAUAUUUUAGCAAAUACGGUGAAUGAAAGUCUUUUGCACAAACAAAUAAUAGUGAUUGUCACGUCAAAUUUGGGCUAUCACUACGCACAACAAAUGCAUCUAAAGUCUUCCUCAACCCUGAAAUUCCAGAAGCAGGCCAAAUUAUUGAGAGGUAUUGUGAAAGAGAUGUUAUUCCAACAAUGAUUCAAAUCGACGAAAGCACCCAAGGAACGAUUGAAGAGCAAAUGUUGUACAACAGAAAAACAUUGAGGGAAAUUAUAGAACUGCGAUAUGCUGACGUUAAAAG
Molecule: long non-coding RNA, 438 nt
Organism: Triticum aestivum (bread wheat)
Lineage: Eukaryota; Viridiplantae; Streptophyta; Magnoliopsida; Poales; Poaceae
Exons: 4
Source: RefSeq, a predicted model, not a curated record